RNAcentral lists this long non-coding RNA (1554 nucleotides) under Manihot esculenta (cassava). RNAcentral describes it as "long non-coding RNA (MESC_LNC007102)". The record is from RNAcentral. Lineage: Eukaryota; Viridiplantae; Streptophyta; Magnoliopsida; Malpighiales; Euphorbiaceae.
AAAAAUCACCGGAAAAUGUCUCCCACGCUAAAAAGUGACACGGGAUGGCCGAAAAAGGAAUUGGAAACACGGAGUGGACCGAACAAUGUAGCAGCAUCGAACAGUGUCUCACGCAUUGGAAAGGAAGGGCGCAUGAGCCUCACACGCAUGGCUUUCCGGCGAUGGAGCUGGCCGGCGGCGGCAAUGAGAUGUGAAAAGUCUCUAGAUAGAGUAGUACCAAAAAGGUAGAUCUAGGGUUUUAGAAAUCCUAAAGAAAAAAAAUUGAAUUUAAACUAUAAAAUCAAGAAAAAACUCUAAUACUGUGAAAAAUUUUGAGAGGAAUUUUUUAUUUUAUUCCAAUUGAAUUAAUCUUUACAAGAUUUGAGUAUUUAUACACAAAAAAUCAAUCUAAAUCACAAAUAUUUACAAUAAAAAUAAAAUCUCUAUAAUCAAGUCUAAUUAGGAAGGAACCUUCUAUAUUGGUCAACAAAAAUAAAAUCUCUAUAAUCAAGUCUAAUUAAGGAGGAACCUUCUAUAUUGGUCAACAAUUAUUCUCUCAAGCAAAUUGGAAAUCUAUAGUGUUAAUCUAAGGUACUAAAAAGGAAGAAUACAAAUCAAGAAAUUUUAGGCUAAUUUACAGCCCUAAUCAGUGCAUAUCUACAUAUUACAACAAUAAAGGAAGAGAAAAUCUCAAAUAUCUUAAUAGGAGGAAACUGUGUCAUAGAAAAGAAGUAAGAAACAUGGUGUAGUUUUUGAUCUAGUACUCAAUAAGAAUGUGAAGCUAUGACACAAUAUGAGUGAAGUACUGUGGAUAUAUCAUUUAUUUAAUUACACUGCUCUUAAGAUCUCAAUAUCAUUACCUGCAAAUUGAAUUACUCUGUAUUGUCUCCAAUCUUGUAUUUCACAAAUGAUUCAAAUAUUGAGAUUAAUUACAAAUUUGUUCAUAAAAAAGAUCCAACAAAGGGUUAUCUAAAUAGGAUACAUGAAGACCAAAGAAAUUAGAAGUUACCUUCGUAAAGACUUAAUGAAAAUUGAGUGGAUUAUAGUUGUAACAAGCUAGGCAUGAUUAACAUCUUGCUCCUUCUUGAAGGGGAUUGUUAUAGAAUAGGAAGUUAUUGUAGAAUAGUAAGUCAAUUAGUAGAAAGCCAAUUCAGUUAGCAUAAUUAUAAGGAUGGAGUUUGUAAAAGUUCCCAAUUAGUUGGCUUUGAUUAUAGGAAGAAUUGUAUGUAAAUUUAUAUUAAAUCUUUACGAAAUAUACGUUAGUUUAUCACAAAACAUAACAAGCAAGUUGAACUUAUUAUCAUUAUUGCUUUUGCUCUCUCUUUAUCUCUCACUCGCUUGAAUGUACACACAAAAUUGUGGGAAGUUAGAACUAUUAAAGUUUAGAUUGCUGCACAUUAAUCAUGUGGCCCGACUUUCAUUUGCAUUUUAAGCAUGCAAAGGAAGCUAUUCCCAUUAGUUUUGUAUUUAGCUUGAGUAUAUUGCUUGAUGCAAAAUAUCUGAAUGAUACAGAAAAACAUGCUCAUAUUUAUGUGUUUAUGUACUAGGUUAUUUGAUGCAAUAUUUAUAAAUAAC